Molecule: ribosomal RNA, 253 nt
Filed under: uncultured bacterium
Lineage: Bacteria
Description: partial 16S ribosomal RNA
Rfam family: Bacterial small subunit ribosomal RNA
Source: RNAcentral
UACAGAGGUCCCGAGCGUUGUUCGGAUUCAUUGGGCGUAAAGGGUGCGUAGGUGGCGCUGUAAGUGGGGUGUGAAAUCCCGGGGCUUAACCCCGGGACUGCAUUCCAUACUGCGGUGCUUGAGGACUGGAGAGGAGACUGGAAUUUACGGUGUAGCAGUGAAAUGCGUAGAGAUCGUAAGGAAGACCAGUGGCGAAGGCGGGUCUCUGGACAGUUCCUGACACUGAGGCACGAAGGCCAGGGGAGCGAACAGG